This 253-nucleotide ribosomal RNA is filed under the name uncultured bacterium. Its description in RNAcentral is "partial 16S ribosomal RNA". It matches the Rfam family "Bacterial small subunit ribosomal RNA", at positions 524 to 776 of the family's 1533-position model. The record is from RNAcentral.
UACAGAGGUCUCAAGCGUUGUUCGGAUUCAUUGGGCGUAAAGGGUGCGUAGGCGGCGCGGUAAGUCGGGUGUGAAAUCUCGGAGCUUAACUCCGAAACUGCAUUCGAUACUGCCGUGCUUGAGGACUGGAGAGGAGACUGGAAUUUACGGUGUAGCGGUGAAAUGCGUAGAUAUCUGGAGGAAUACCGGUGGCGAAGGCGGCAUCCUGGACCAUUACUGACGCUGAGGCGCGAAAGCUAGGGGAGCAAACGGG